This 253-nucleotide ribosomal RNA is filed under the name uncultured bacterium. Its description in RNAcentral is "partial 16S ribosomal RNA". It matches the Rfam family "Bacterial small subunit ribosomal RNA", at positions 524 to 776 of the family's 1533-position model. The record is from RNAcentral.
UACGUAGGGUGCAAGCGUUGUCCGGAAUUAUUGGGCGUAAAGAGCUCGUAGGUGGUCUGUUGCGUCGGCUGUGAAAACCCGGGGCUCAACCCCGGGCCUGCAGCCGAUACGGGCAGACUAGAGUUCGGCAGGGGAGACUGGAAUUCCUGGUGUAGCGGUGAAAUGCGCAGAUAUCAGGAGGAACACCGGUGGCGAAGGCGGGUCUCUGGGCCGAUACUGACACUGAGGAGCGAAAGCGUGGGGAGAGAACGGG